AAGUCGUAACAAGGUUUCCGUAGGUGAACCUGCGGAAGGAUCAUUUCCGAAAACAACUCUUACAAACCAAUCUUGUGGAAUGUUUUGGGUUUUUUUACUCUAGAAAGGUGAGGCUUAGUUGCUCUAAUAGUGACAGCAGUUUUGUGCCAGUGGGCACCUUGGCUGUUGCCCUCCUAUUACGCAAUGCUUGACGCCCUACUCUUCUAGAGGCCAUGAUGAACUACCUUCGGGUUGAUAGUGUCGUUUUUUCACUCUUGUUGUCUUCGGGCAACAACACAAAAAAACUAAUGAUACAACAACUUUUAACGGUGGAUCUCUUGGCUCGU
This 326-nucleotide unclassified non-coding RNA is filed under the name fungal sp. RNAcentral's name for it is "partial internal transcribed spacer region". The stretch from base 1 to 46 matches the Rfam family "Eukaryotic small subunit ribosomal RNA", at positions 1786 to 1831 of the family's 1831-position model. The record is from RNAcentral. Lineage: Eukaryota; Fungi.